UGCAGGGAUUACUACUAAGGAUCACACCCUCUACUGGAUGACAGUGUGUGUCCUCAUCCCUGGGUUCAUUCGGUGCUGAAUCUUACUCCCAACUGAAUAGACAUAGAACUGAUUUCCUAGUUCAUAUUUGGCUGGACUGAUCUGUUAAUAAUUUUUUACGGCUUAACUAGAUUGCACUGAGUUCACUGGAUUUUCGUUGACUGACGGAAUACUACUGAA
Molecule: long non-coding RNA, 219 nt
Filed under: Capsicum annuum
Lineage: Eukaryota; Viridiplantae; Streptophyta; Magnoliopsida; Solanales; Solanaceae
Description: long non-coding RNA (CANN_LNC011246)
Source: RNAcentral